Plectropomus leopardus (leopard coralgrouper) is the source of this 492-nucleotide non-coding RNA. The record is from RefSeq and is a predicted model, not a curated record. Lineage: Eukaryota; Metazoa; Chordata; Actinopteri; Perciformes; Serranidae.
AGUGUUGAAGACAAUUCAUCACGUCGCAGUGAGUUACCAUGUUGGUGGGAUAUAUAGUAAUUCUCUCACAAACUCCUUUAAUUUAAAGACAUAAUGGACUGGGACAACCUGUGUGUCCCUGAGACUCAGCAGAUUUAUUUCCAGUGAUAGCAGCAAGUUCAGCCUCCAAGUCCGGGUCGUCCAGAUUCCCCUCCAUCCCCAUCAUCAUCUGCUCAGGGUCCAGGUCUACAAACAGACCCAUCUGAAACCAGGAGGAUCUCCGUUUGGACGCUGCAGCAGCUCCCUCUGCUGUUACUGUGAAACUCACCCUCCGCUCCUGUCCCUGUGGUAGAGGCGGAACCAGAUGUCGUACAGCUGCCUCUUGAACUGUCCGGGGUCUGAUGAUGACUUCCCCUCCUUGACCAGAAACUGCUCCUCUGACGUCACCGUCUCCGCUACACCCGUGGAUGUUUCAUAGUUGUCCAGCAAGUUAAUGAAAUCUGCAUUAAAAAC